AUUGAACGCUAGCGGGAUGCCUUACACAUGCAAGUCGAACGGCAGCACGGACUUCGGUCUGGUGGCGAGUGGCGAACGGGUGAGUAAUGUAUCGGAACGUGCCCAGUAGCGGGGGAUAACUACGCGAAAGCGUAGCUAAUACCGCAUACGCCCUACGGGGGAAAGCAGGGGAUCGCAAGACCUUGCACUAUUGGAGCGGCCGAUAUCGGAUUAGCUAGUUGGUGGGGUAACGGCUCACCAAGGCGACGAUCCGCAGCUGGUUUGAGAGGACGACCAGCCACACUGGGACUGAGACACGGCCCAGACUCCUACGGGAGGCAGCAGUGGGGAAUUUUGGACAAUGGGGGAAACCCUGAUCCAGCCAUCCCGCGUGUGCGAUGAAGGCCUUCGGGUUGUAAAGCACUUUUGGCAGGAAAGAAACGUCGCGGGUUAAUACCUCGCGAAACUGACGGUACCUGCAGAAUAAGCACCGGCUAACUACGUG
Molecule: ribosomal RNA, 484 nt
Filed under: uncultured bacterium
Lineage: Bacteria
Description: partial 16S ribosomal RNA
Rfam family: Bacterial small subunit ribosomal RNA
Source: RNAcentral